This 372-nucleotide ribosomal RNA is filed under the name uncultured organism. Its description in RNAcentral is "bacterial SSU rRNA". It matches the Rfam family "Bacterial small subunit ribosomal RNA", at positions 526 to 896 of the family's 1533-position model. The record is from RNAcentral.
CGUAGGGUCCAAGCGUUAUCCGGAUCACUGGGCGUAAAGCGUUUGUAGGCGGAAGUUUAAGUGAGAUGCGAAAUCUUGUGGCUCAACCACAUAGACGGUAUCUCAUACUGGGCUUCUAGAAUAUAGCAGAGGCAAGUGGAAUUAGUAGUGUAGCGGUAAAAUGCGUAGAUAUUACUAGGAACACCAAUGGCGUAGGCAGCUUACUGGGCUAUUAUUGACGCUGAGAAACGAAAGCGUGGGGAGCGAACAGGAUUAGAUACCCUGGUAGUCCACGCCGUAAACGAUGUGUGCUAUUAGUUCGAGGUAUCGACCCCUUGGGCUGAACAGCUAACGCGUUAAGCACACCGCCUGGGGAGUACGAGCGCAAGCUUA